Molecule: ribosomal RNA, 467 nt
Filed under: uncultured Burkholderia sp.
Lineage: Bacteria; Pseudomonadati; Pseudomonadota; Betaproteobacteria; Burkholderiales; Burkholderiaceae
Description: bacterial SSU rRNA
Rfam family: Bacterial small subunit ribosomal RNA
Source: RNAcentral
GCCUACGGGGGGCUGCAGUGGGGAAUUUUGGACAAUGGGCGAAAGCCUGAUCCAGCAAUGCCGCGUGUGUGAAGAAGGCCUUCGGGUUGUAAAGCACUUUUGUCCGGAAAGAAAUCCUUGGCUCUAAUACAGUCGGGGGAUGACGGUACCGGAAGAAUAAGCACCGGCUAACUACGUGCCAGCAGCCGCGGUAAUACGUCGGGUGCAAGCGUUAAUCGGAAUUACUGGGCGUAAAGCGUGCGCAGGCGGUUUGCUAAGACCGAGGUGAAAUCCCCGGGCUCAACCUGGGAACUGCAUUGGUGACUGGCAGGCUAGAGUGUGGCAGAGGGGGGUAGAAUUCCACGUGUAGCAGUGAAAUGCGUAGAGAUGUGGAGGAAUACCGAUGGCGAAGGCAGCCCCCUGGGCCAAUACUGACGCUCAUGCACGAAAGCGUGGGGAGCAAACAGGAUUAGAUACCCCUGUAGUCG